This 484-nucleotide ribosomal RNA is filed under the name uncultured bacterium. RNAcentral describes it as "partial 16S ribosomal RNA". It matches the Rfam family "Bacterial small subunit ribosomal RNA", at positions 30 to 507 of the family's 1533-position model. The record is from RNAcentral.
AUUGAACGCUGGCGGCAGGCCUAACACAUGCAAGUCGAGCGGAAGAAGGGAGCUUGCUCCUGGAUUCAGCGGCGGACGGGUGAGUAAUGCCUAGGAAUCUGCCUGGUAGUGGGGGAUAACGUCCGGAAACGGGCGCUAAUACCGCAUACGUCCUGAGGGAGAAAGUGGGGGAUCUUCGGACCUCACGCUAUCAGAUGAGCCUAGGUCGGAUUAGCUAGUUGGUGGGGUAAAGGCCUACCAAGGCGACGAUCCGUAACUGGUCUGAGAGGAUGAUCAGUCACACUGGAACUGAGACACGGUCCAGACUCCUACGGGAGGCAGCAGUGGGGAAUAUUGGACAAUGGGCGAAAGCCUGAUCCAGCCAUGCCGCGUGUGUGAAGAAGGUCUUCGGAGUGUAAAGCACUUUAAGUUGGGAGGAAGGGCAGUAAGUUAAUACCUUGCUGUUUUGACGUUACCAACAGAAUAAGCACCGGCUAACUUCGUG